Molecule: long non-coding RNA, 832 nt
Filed under: Polistes fuscatus (common paper wasp)
Lineage: Eukaryota; Metazoa; Arthropoda; Insecta; Hymenoptera; Vespidae
Description: uncharacterized LOC122525987
Source: RNAcentral
UCUCUAAAUCAUCCGUUGGGAGAGCGGCUUUACCUGGUUACAAAAAGGCUCUCAGGAGAGCGUACCAGCGAAGAGAUCUGCCAACAAAAUCUUUGGAUAUCUUAAUUUCUUCGUUAUCUGGUUUGAACUUUGACGACAGACGCAGCUUUCUUAGCAUUUAAAAAGGGUAAAGUAAACACUAGCUAUGCCUCUCCAUUCUUCAAUGUUUUGAUGUGAUCUGAUAUCUUAAUAUUCGCACCUCCUUCUGAUAUCACAAUAUUGUUUAACUUUAUAAGAGACACAGCUUGGACCCUCUUAGUAAUCGCUAAGACUAGUAAGAAUACCAGCUUAAAUGUAGAAAUGAAAUGAAGACCUUCUAUACAUCGUCGAUAUUAACAGAUUUUCCAAAAUCUCCUAACAUGACUUAUGCACAAACUCAUGCAGCCAAUGUAGAGUGACUACCAUAAUUGGCGACGAAGUUGUUGUUACAACGAAGAAGUUGUUAAUACAUUAGUAACAGUUUUUACCAAUGAAGACAAAGCAUGUAAUGAUUACAACAACCUUCAGGAAUUGGGCAAAAUUCUCGUCCCUUAAUAAUCGAUUACUAUCUUGCAAAUGCUAGAAGGACAGAGUUCUUGAAGUUCUAUGCCAACUUUUUUGCGCUGUGAAAAUGGUGUGUGUAGUUUCCGCAACCGGCCGACUGUUGCAUCUAUAUAUGUUGUAUGUUGCGUGUUAAAUAAUAUUUAAAUUUUCCGAUUUUCAAGGAAUCUACGUACGGCUUAACGACAAAUAGAAUAAUAUACGUAUUUAAUAAAAUUUAAGAUAAAAUGUUUAUCGACUCUACUAUACUUAA